UUGAAACACUAGUUCUCAUACAAUCACUGUAGUUAAGCAACAUUGAGCCUGGUCAGUAUGUAGAUGGGUGACUGCUUGGGAAUACCUGAUGCUGUAA
Acanthosepion pharaonis is the source of this 97-nucleotide non-coding RNA. Lineage: Eukaryota; Metazoa; Mollusca; Cephalopoda; Sepiida; Sepiidae. The record is from the annotation of a GenBank genome assembly.